RNAcentral lists this transfer RNA (74 nucleotides) under Tectus pyramis. RNAcentral's name for it is "tRNA-Trp". It matches the Rfam family "tRNA". From Rfam's summary of the family: Transfer RNA (tRNA) molecules are approximately 80 nucleotides in length. Their secondary structure includes four short double-helical elements and three loops (D, anti-codon, and T loops). The record is from RNAcentral. Lineage: Eukaryota; Metazoa; Mollusca; Gastropoda; Trochida; Tegulidae.
AGGAUCUUAGGUUAGGUUAAACCAAAAGUUUUCAAAGCUUUAAAGGGGAGUUAAGUAAAGUCUUCCAGGUCCUG